AAACUGCGAAUGGCUCAUUAAAUCAGUUAUCGUUUAUUUGAUAGUACCUCUACUACAUGGACAACUGUGGUAAUUCUAGAGCUAAUACAUGCUAAAAACCUCGACUUCGGAAGGGGUGUAUUUAUUAGAUAAAAAACCAAUGCCCUUCGGGGCUUCUUGGUGAUUCAUAAUAACUAAACGAAUCGCAUGGCCUUGCGCCGGCGAUGGUUCAUUCAAAUUUCUGCCCUAUCAACUUUCGAUGGUAGGAUAGUGGCCUACCAUGGUUUCAACGGGUAACGGGGAAUUAGGGUUCUAUUCCGGAGAGGGAGCCUGAGAAACGGCUACCACAUCCAAGGAAGGCAGCAGGCGCGCAAAUUAUCCAAUCCCAAUACGGGGAGAUAGUGACAAUAAAUACUGAUACAGGGCUCUUUUGGGUCUUGUAAUUGGAAUGAGUACAAUUUAAAUCCCUUAACGAGGAACAAUUGGAGGGCAAGUCUGGUGGACUUCAGUCUCGCUGCUGACGCCAGAGAUAGCAGGCUCUCCCCGUGGCCGGGGCUAUGCUUGCUAGUGACAUCCCGUGGUGACGGUGGAUGCCGGCGAGUAACUUGGAAGGGGGAAGCUUAGGGGGGUCCAAACCCUUAUGGUAAUCCGUGGCGAGUUCUGGAGACGGGCCGUCGUAACGGGCGCAAAGGUACCGGUCGCUGUAACGCAGCGGCUCAAGGGACGUGCUAUACCCACCCGAAAGGGUGAUCCCGCCUGGAGCACCCGUCGUGCAAAGGGCGUGGAUGGGAGGGCGGUGCCUGCACCCACCCCCGGUGGUUCAGCGAUGAACCUCCAUCUUUUAGGCCAGCAGCCGCGGUAAUUCCAGCUCCAAUAGCGUAUAUUAAAGUUGUUGCAGUUAAAAAGCUCGUAGUUGAACCUUGGAUCUGGCCGAUCGGUCCGCCUCACCGCGUGCACUGGCUCGGCCGGAUCUUUCUUUCUGGGGAGCCCUAUGGCCUUCACUGGUCGUAGCGGGGAACCAGGACUUUUACUUUGAAAAAAUUAGAGUGUUCAAAGCAGGCCUUCGCUCGAAUACAUUAGCAUGGAAUAAUAGAAUAAGACGUGUGGUUUUAUUUUGUUGGUUUCUAAGACCGCCGUAAUGAUUAAUAGGGACAGUCGGGGGCGUCUGUAUUCCGUUGUCAGAGGUGAAAUUCUUGGAUUUACGGAAGACAAACUACUGCGAAAGCAUUCGCCAAGGAUGUUUUCAUUAAUCAGUGAACGAAAGUUAGGGGAUCGAAGACGAUCAGAUACCGUCGUAGUCUUAACCAUAAACUAUGCCGACUAGGGAUCGGACGGUGUUUUUAUUUUGACCCGUUCGGCACCUUACGAGAAAUCAAAGUGUUUGGGCUCUGGGGGGAAUAUGGUCGCAAGGCUGAAACUUAAAGAAAUUGACGGAAGGGCACCACAAGGCGUGGAGCCUGCGGCUUAAUUUGACUCAACACGGGGAAACUCACCAGGUCCAGACAUGCUUAGGAUUGACAGAUUGAGAGCUCUUUCUUGAUUGUAUGGGUGGUGGUGCAUGGCCGUUCUUAGUUGGUGGAGUGAUUUGUCUGCUUAAUUGCGUUAACGAACGAGACCUUAACUUACUAAAUAGCCCGAUUGGCGUUUGCCGAUCGCUGGCUUCUUAGAAGGACUAUCGGCUCAAGCCGAUGGAAGUUUGAGGCAAUAACAGGUCUGUGAUGCCCUUAGAUGUCCUGGGCCGCACGCGCGCUACACUGACAGAGCCAACGAGUACAUCACCUUAGCCGAGAGGUUUGGGUAAUCUUGUUAAACUCUGUCGUGCUGGGGAUAGAGCAUUGCAAUUAUUGCUCUUCAACGAGGAAUGCCUAGUAAGCGCGAGUCAUCAGCUCGUGCUGAUUACGUCCCUGCCCUUUGUACACACCGCCCGUCGCUACUACCGAUUGAAUGGCUCAGUGAGGCCUCCGGACUGGCUCAGGGAGGUCGGCAACGACCACCCAGAGCCGGA
RNAcentral lists this ribosomal RNA (1984 nucleotides) under Caliciopsis pinea. RNAcentral describes it as "SSU rRNA". It matches the Rfam family "Eukaryotic small subunit ribosomal RNA". The record is from RNAcentral. Lineage: Eukaryota; Fungi; Ascomycota; Eurotiomycetes; Coryneliales; Coryneliaceae.